UUUAAGUACAAAUAUAAGUUUCCGUAUCCAACUUUGAUCGCUCAUUUUAUUUGAAAAAAAAUUUAUAAUUAGUAUUUUUGUUGUUAUGAGAUGAUAAAAUAUGAAUAGUACUUUAUACGUGUCUUAUGUUUUAAACUUUUUUUAAAAAAAAGUAAAUAAAAUAGAUAAUUAAAGUUGGAAACGUAAAAUAAUAGCGGGCACUGAAA
This is a non-coding RNA of Oryza nivara, 206 nucleotides long. The record is from Rfam. NCBI's taxonomy places the organism in Eukaryota, Viridiplantae, Streptophyta, Magnoliopsida, Poales, Poaceae.